Long non-coding RNA from Rhea pennata, 490 nucleotides. RefSeq lists it as uncharacterized. The transcript has 4 exons. NCBI's taxonomy places the organism in Eukaryota, Metazoa, Chordata, Aves, Rheiformes, Rheidae. The record is from RefSeq and is a predicted model, not a curated record.
UCAAACCACAACCUCCAGUAUCAACAUGCAACACAGAGAAGGUUGGAGGCAAGAAGAAUUUCUCACCAAGUGCAAAACUAAAGAAAAUUAUUACAUCAAGACCAUCAAGUCUCUUAGUGUCACCAUGAAUGCAGAUCAUGUCUACAUUAUUAUGGGAACAACAUCUUAGGGACAAGACUCUGGACAAAAUAUCUGAGGAACACUAGACAAUGCUCAGUCCUUAACCACCAGCUGAACGUUACAAACCUAAAGAGAUUUAAUCCCAAGCAAAUCUCAAUGUGUCCAUCAUGCUCUGGGGUCCCUGAAAGGAAGCUGGGGUUCCUGAUGAAGCUGGGCUGGGUGCCAUGCUGCCAACAUGGGGGAGAUUUUCAUUUCUUGGAGUGUGGCCAAUAACCUGCAGCAAGAAAACAGAAUGGGGACUUUCACACCAAAAGCAAGAUGCCAAACCAAAACCAUCUGUCUGCACGUUUUCCUCUCUGCCUCUGUUCUU